This 364-nucleotide unclassified non-coding RNA is filed under the name uncultured bacterium. RNAcentral describes it as "contains 16S-23S intergenic spacer region". The record is from RNAcentral.
UCCCGGUUGGCCCGGGCAGUCUCGCGUGAAAAAUUCAACACACGACAAGGGUUGCGCUCGUUGCGGGACUUAACCCAACAUCUCACGACACGAGCUGACGACGGCCAUGCAGCACCUGUCACUAGGCUCCCGAGGGCACCCUCUUGUUUCCAAAAGGUUCCUAGGAUGUCAAGCCUUGGUAAGGUUCUUCGCGUAGCAUCGAAUUAAACCACAUCAUCCACCGCUUGUGCGGGUCCCCGUCAAUUCCUUUGAGUUUUAAGCUUGCGCUCGUACUCCCCAGGCGGCAUACUUAUCGCGUUAGCUUCUCAGCACAGGGGGUCGAUACCCCAUACUAAUAGUAUGCAUCGUUUACGGCGUGGACUAC